RNAcentral lists this transfer RNA (73 nucleotides) under Pseudocercospora pini-densiflorae CBS 125139. Its description in RNAcentral is "tRNA-Ser (CGA) (tRNA-Ser-CGA-4-1)". It matches the Rfam family "tRNA". From Rfam's summary of the family: Transfer RNA (tRNA) molecules are approximately 80 nucleotides in length. The record is from RNAcentral. Lineage: Eukaryota; Fungi; Ascomycota; Dothideomycetes; Mycosphaerellales; Mycosphaerellaceae.
GGAGAAGUGGUCUAGGGGUCGGGCACAGGCGCCUCGAAUGCUCUGGAUGUCAGUUCGAGUCUGACGUUCUCCA